Ornithorhynchus anatinus (platypus) is the source of this 138-nucleotide small nucleolar RNA. Lineage: Eukaryota; Metazoa; Chordata; Mammalia; Monotremata; Ornithorhynchidae. The record is from RefSeq and is a predicted model, not a curated record.
CUCCUCUCAGGGCCGCACCUGGAGAGUUUCCAGUACUCUACCAGUCACGACUACACGAGGGAGAGUUAUGCAGAGGCCUGCCUAUUCCAUUUCUAGCUUGGGCAGUGGCUAGUCAGUGGAAGGCAAUCUGCUACAAGU